AUAAAAACCCGAACUCUAGUUUUUCCCUAAAUCCCCCGCCGCACUCCCUCUUCCCUGAGCCCUCUCCCUCUCUCACGAUUUUCUCUCUAUUCCAUCGACGAUCUCCCUUCUUUGUUGAGCCACGGCAGCCGGCUCUCCUCCUCGCGUGAGCACCGCGGCGCCGCCUCCUCUACCCUUACCGAACCUCUUCUCCCUCACGCGAGCAACCGCCGACGAUCUUCUCCCUCACAUGAGCACCAGUCAGAAAUCUCUCCCUCACGCGAGUACCAGCCGACGAAUAAUGAAGGGGUGGCCUUAGUGCGUGGGUGUUGUUUGAUUUUAGUUGUAGUUAUCCUCUAUGAGAAUAAUGGGUAAAGGUAACAUGAGAAGGUAAUAUUGUUUUAGUUCAUGCCAUGCUCUGCUCGUGAGAGGGGUUGGGCUAGCAAUACUAUGCUAUAGAUGCCAUGCUCGAGCUUCUCUAGAUUUAGCUUUGAACAACUUUAACCAAAUUUGAACUCAUGAUACCUCAAUAAUGGUUUUCUUCCAAUAUGUACUUGAGUUAUUUGAAUUGAAUACGCAUGACUUGCAAUUCCAAUAGGAUCACUUCUUCUUAUCAGUUUGGAAAUUUUCGUACAGAUUUGGAAGUAAGGGGAAUUGGUGUGAUUUAAUAGUUCUUCUUUUGAUCAGAUUGAACAAAAUAAAUGACAAAAAAAAUAUAGUUGGAUAAGUAUGUGAUGAUAACUCAUUUUCCGCAAAGGUUUAACUAAUUAUCAUACAUGUAUGUGAGUCCCUUGCUGUGCUUUUAUCGUUGAGGUUGCUUUACCAUGUUAGUUUGGUAUUUCUGUGUUAGAUUUUGGUGGCAUGCAACCUAGUUGUUGCUCCUUCUUGGUUCUCUAGGGCUAUGCAGAAUUUUAAUAUUUGAAUGAAAAAAAAAAUCUAUUAGGUUGCUGUAUCAGUUUGUGUUCUUAUGGGUUCUUUAUGAAGGAUAGUAUAAGACUAUGUAUGUUUACUGGUAAACUAUGAUAUGCAUUGAGUCAUCUGUGAUUUAUAUUUAAUCCUUCAUGAUAAUUGGAUGCUUAGGGGUAUGUGUAUGGUAACAAUACGGGAUAGGUGCUCCGGGAUGAGCUACGGGGAGGGCUCCUCCAUAUAGAUAUGAUAAUGAAGAAUAUGAUGGCUUAAACCAUAAGAAUACAAGUCUCCUAAGAGGUACCUCUAGAGUUCGAUAAUGGACUGACUAAACAGGCUCAAAUGACGGUUACCAUGCUCUGACUAAACAGGCUCAAAUAUCGAUGAGGAAGAUACCACCCAGAACGGGACGAUGGACUCGGAGGCGGAGUAGCUGAGGAUGUGAGGUCGGAUGCAUCACACUAUCUAGGGGCUCUAGGUGUCAGUUAGUAGUCAUUUCCUAUGAUUGUUAUGGUAGUAUGGGAUGAAGACUACUUGUUAGCUUGCUUCGGUAGGAGGUCACAAAUGUUUCUUUAAAGAUGUGUGUUUUUUUUUCUUUGACGUUUUAUAUGAUUACAGAGAAAAAAAUAAUCUGGACAAAUGUGUGAUGCAAUGAUGUUUCAUUUAAAUGUGAAGUUUAUGUUUUAGUUCUUAGCAAAUCA
Zingiber officinale is the source of this 1586-nucleotide long non-coding RNA. RefSeq lists it as uncharacterized. Lineage: Eukaryota; Viridiplantae; Streptophyta; Magnoliopsida; Zingiberales; Zingiberaceae. The transcript has 2 exons. The record is from RefSeq and is a predicted model, not a curated record.